RNAcentral lists this ribosomal RNA (615 nucleotides) under uncultured archaeon. RNAcentral describes it as "bacterial SSU rRNA". It matches the Rfam family "Archaeal small subunit ribosomal RNA", at positions 180 to 798 of the family's 1478-position model. The record is from RNAcentral.
CACUGGCUGAAACCUAUAUGGCCCCUGGAUUGGACUGCGGCCGAUCAGGCUGUUGGUGAGGUAAUGGCCCACCAAACCUGUAACCGGUACGGGCUUUGAGAGAAGGAGCCCGGAGAUGGGCACUGAGACAAGGGCCCAGGCCCUAUGGGGCGCAGCAGGCGCGAAAAUUCUGCAAUAGGCGAAAGCUUGACAGAGUUACUCUGAGUGAUGCCCGCUAAGGGCAUCUUUUGGCACCUCUAAAAAUGGUGCAGAAUAAGGGGUGGGCAAGUCUGGUGUCAGUCGCCGCGGUAAUACCAGCACCCCGAGUGGUCGGGACGAUUAUUGGGCCUAAAGCAUCCGUAGCCGGUUUUACAAGUCCUCCGUUAAAUCCAGCUGCUUAACAGAUGGGCUGCGGAGGAUACUAUAAGACUAGGAGGCAGGAGAGGCAAGCGGUACUCAGUGGGUAGGGGUAAAAUCCGUUGAUCCAUUGAAGACCACCAGUGGCGAAGGCGGCUUGCCAGAAUGCGCUCGACGGUGAGGGAUGAAAGCUGGGGGAGCAAACCGGAUUAGAUACCCGGGUAGUCCCAGCUGUAAACGAUGCAGACUCGGUGAUGGACUAGCUUUAUGCUAGUCCAG